GCUUUGGUGGUGCAGUGGUAGAGCACGCGUCUCCGGAUAGGUUUAAGCGCUGGUCCGAUUCCCGCCUGAAGCC
This is a non-coding RNA of Parelaphostrongylus tenuis, 73 nucleotides long. The record is from the annotation of a GenBank genome assembly. Lineage: Eukaryota; Metazoa; Nematoda; Chromadorea; Rhabditida; Metastrongylidae.